Molecule: ribosomal RNA, 513 nt
Filed under: uncultured Vagococcus sp.
Lineage: Bacteria; Bacillati; Bacillota; Bacilli; Lactobacillales; Enterococcaceae
Description: bacterial SSU rRNA
Rfam family: Bacterial small subunit ribosomal RNA
Source: RNAcentral
GACGAACGCUGGCGGCGUGCCUAAUACAUGCAAGUCGAACGCUUCUUUUUCACCGAGUGCUUGCACUCACCGGAAAAGAAGAGUGGCGGACGGGUGAGUAACACGUGGGUAACCUGCCCAUUAGAGGGGGAUAACACUUGGAAACAGGUGCUAAUACCGCAUAAUUCUUUUAACCGCAUGGUUGAAUGAUGAAAGACGCUUUCGGGUGUCACUAAUGGAUGGACCCGCGGUGCAUUAGUUAGUUGGUAGGGUAAUGGCCUACCAAGACCGUGAUGCAUAGCCGACCUGAGAGGGUGAUCGGCCACACUGGGACUGAGACACGGCCCAGACUCCUACGGGAGGCAGCAGUAGGGAAUCUUCGGCAAUGGACGAAAGUCUGACCGAGCAACGCCGCGUGAGUGAAGAAGGUUUUCGGAUCGUAAAACUCUGUUGUUAGAGAAGAACAAGGAUGAGAGUAACUGUUCAUCCCUUGACGGUAUCUAACCAGAAAGCCACGGCUAACUACGUGCCAGC